Long non-coding RNA from Populus euphratica (Euphrates poplar), 184 nucleotides. RefSeq lists it as uncharacterized. The record is from RefSeq and is a predicted model, not a curated record. The transcript is spliced from 2 exons. Lineage: Eukaryota; Viridiplantae; Streptophyta; Magnoliopsida; Malpighiales; Salicaceae.
AUUGCAAUCCCCACCCACCUCUCUCAAGCAAUGAAAUCAAUCAAAUCAGCUAGGCUUUCUCUUUGGGGUUUGACAAACAUCAAACAAUUUAUUUCCUUGUGAAUGAGCAAUCGAUCCGAUAGAAUCCUUUCAGGGUUUUGAUUUUGGUUUAGAUACGGUAGGGGAGCACAACGAAAGGAAAAAA